Molecule: unclassified non-coding RNA, 1168 nt
Filed under: Bombus terrestris (buff-tailed bumblebee)
Lineage: Eukaryota; Metazoa; Arthropoda; Insecta; Hymenoptera; Apidae
Description: misc RNA ENSBTSG00005026683.1
Source: RNAcentral
GUGUAUAUGUUUAACCUAAUUAUUAAAAAACUAAUUAUUAUAAUCGCGCUGUGCAAGAAGACCUAUCCUAAACUAAUAAAUUUGAAAAAAGAGUGUUACUACUCACGGGUAUAAAAAUACCCGCGGUCACUAUGCUCGCAAAAAAAUUCUACGUAAUACAACCGAUCACCCGUGCCGAUUCGGACCUUUCAUCCUACGACAUGAUUGAGUGACCGGAGGAACAAAAAUGCAUGCGACUCACCGUUCGAAGCGGAGAAACAGAAGACGUACCAUGGAUGCUGCGGAUAAUCAGGGAGACUAACAUCAGGCAGGAACCGUGUAAGGUCCAGUGUUGGAAAUGGAGGUUGCGAACAAUCUGUUACAGAGCAAAACACGAUGAGUGAUUGCUGAUUAUUUAAAAAGUUGAUGAUAAUGAAAAAUGAAGGUUUAUUAACUUUAGUAAUAUUAGUAGUAAUAAAGAUUAAAAUUCUAAUAAACUUUGAUAAGUAUAAAAACUAAAACUCUAAUAUGAAAGUCUAAAAUAUAAAAAUCAAGAAUCUAAUGAUUUUUUAAAUAUGUUAGUCAUUUGUUCCAUAAUUCGGUAUUAAGACUUUAACUCUUAUUUUAUUUCAAUGAAAGAAUAACCUCAGAAAAUGCUAAACUCACAAAUUUUCAAUUGGAUUGUGUCUAUUAAUUGUUAAUCGUUAAAGAAAAAUAUACAGAAUAGACAUAAUUGAAGUACGAUAUGCAAAGUUACUUACAUUUUUGGCUUUUGAGCCACCAUUGGUGCAUUCCCAAAGAAGACAAGGAAGUUGAAGCUGUGAUAUGUCUAUAACAAAACAUAAAAUAUCAUUAAUAUCGUUAAUGCACAAUAAAAAACAUGGAACUUUAGCAAUUCAGUGAUUUUUGAUACGUAUCGGACAGUUUUAUUGCAAUUUAACGUUAAGACUUUAAGACUUUAUUUCACUUAAAGAGAACAUUUACAGCUUUUUAAGUUAUCAACCAUUCUUAUUUUAUAAUUAACAAUAUUUCAAACAAAAUACAAUAAAUAGGACAAGUUGAAAUACAAUAUAUAAAACUACUUACAUUCUUGAGUUCCAGGAGAGGCUUUAUCCUCUUGAGGAAGGCACUGACUCUAAUACCGAAAACGAAUAUUCGAAACAAAAAAAAAAAAAAAAAAAAAAAAAAA